GGUUGAUCCUGCCAGUUGUCAUAUGCUUGUCUCAGAGAUUAAGCCAUGCAUGUGUGAGUAUGGCGGGGUAUACCCCGCGAAACUGCGAAUGGCUCAAUAAAUCAGUGAUAGUUUCCUCGAUGGAUGCUUUGCUAUCGGAUACCCGUAGUAAAUCUAGAGCUAAUACGUUUGUGCGAGGGGGGUCGUAGCCCCCUGCGAGUAGCAGAUCUAGGCCGGCAGACAUUCGUGUCUAUCGUGUCGAGUCAUGAUAUUUGGCGAAUCGGCGUGUGUCCGAUGCAUCGACAAGAUUU
This 290-nucleotide ribosomal RNA is filed under the name uncultured eukaryote. RNAcentral's name for it is "partial 18S ribosomal RNA". It matches the Rfam family "Eukaryotic small subunit ribosomal RNA", at positions 6 to 306 of the family's 1831-position model. The record is from RNAcentral.